This 292-nucleotide ribosomal RNA is filed under the name uncultured Verrucomicrobiota bacterium. RNAcentral describes it as "uncultured Verrucomicrobia bacterium partial 16S ribosomal RNA". The record is from RNAcentral. Lineage: Bacteria; Pseudomonadati; Verrucomicrobiota.
GGACUACUCGGGUUUCUAAUCCCGUUUGCUCCCCUGGCUUUCGUGCCUGAGCGUCAGGAACUGUCCAGAGACCCGCCUUCGCCACCGGUGUUCUGGUCGAUCUCUACGCAUUUCACCGCUACACCGACCAUUCCAGUCUCCUCUCCAGUCCUCAAGCCGGCUAGUUUCCAAUGACCGCUCACAGUUAGGCUGUGAGAUUUCACAUCGGACUUAACCGACCGCCUGCGCACCCUUUACGCCCAAUGAAUCCGAACAACGCUUGCAGUCUCUGUAUUACCGCGGCUGCUGGCAC